This 415-nucleotide ribosomal RNA is filed under the name uncultured Burkholderia sp. Its description in RNAcentral is "bacterial SSU rRNA". It matches the Rfam family "Bacterial small subunit ribosomal RNA", at positions 64 to 473 of the family's 1533-position model. The record is from RNAcentral. Lineage: Bacteria; Pseudomonadati; Pseudomonadota; Betaproteobacteria; Burkholderiales; Burkholderiaceae.
GAACGGCAGCGCGGGGGCAACCCUGGCGGCGAGUGGCGAACGGGUGAGUAAUACAUCGGAACGUGUCCUGGAGUGGGGGAUAGCUCGGCGAAAGCCGGAUUAAUACCGCAUACGCUCUGAGGAGGAAAGCGGGGGACCUGCAAGGGCCUCGCGCUCAAGGGGCGGCCGAUGGCAGAUUAGCUAGUUGGUGGGGUAAAGGCCUACCAAGGCGACGAUCUGUAGCUGGUCUGAGAGGACGACCAGCCACACUGGGACUGAGACACGGCCCAGACUCCUACGGGAGGCAGCAGUGGGGAAUUUUGGACAAUGGGCGCAAGCCUGACCAGCAAUGCCGCGUGUGUGAAGAAGGCCUUCGGGUUGUAAAGCACUUUUGUCCGGAAAGAAAACGCAUUGGUUAAUACCUGAUGUGGAUGAC